This 493-nucleotide ribosomal RNA is filed under the name uncultured bacterium. RNAcentral describes it as "partial 16S ribosomal RNA". It matches the Rfam family "Bacterial small subunit ribosomal RNA", at positions 27 to 507 of the family's 1533-position model. The record is from RNAcentral.
GAUUGAACGCUGGCGGCAUGCUUUACACAUGCAAGUCGAACGGUAACAGGCCUUCGGGUGCUGACGAGUGGCGAACGGGUGAGUAAUGCAUCGGAACGUGCCCAGAGGUGGGGGAUAACGCAGCGAAAGCUGUGCUAAUACCGCAUGUGAUCUGAGGAUGAAAGCGGGGGACCAAGCAGCAAUGUUUGGCCUCGCGCCUCUGGAGCGGCCGAUGUCAGCUUAGGUAGUUGGUGGGGUAAAGGCCUACCAAGCCGACGAUCUGUAGCUGGUCUGAGAGGACGACCAGCCACACUGGGACUGAGACACGGCCCAGACUCCUACGGGAGGCAGCAGUGGGGAAUUUUGGACAAUGGGCGCAAGCCUGAUCCAGCAAUGCCGCGUGCGGGAAGAAGGCCUUCGGGUUGUAAACCGCUUUUGUACGGAACGAAAAGGCUCUGGCUAAUACCUGGGGCUGAUGACGGUACCGGAAGAAUAAGCACCGGCUAACUACGUG